RNAcentral lists this ribosomal RNA (270 nucleotides) under Triticum aestivum (bread wheat). RNAcentral's name for it is "partial small subunit ribosomal RNA". Lineage: Eukaryota; Viridiplantae; Streptophyta; Magnoliopsida; Poales; Poaceae. The record is from RNAcentral.
AUGUGUGACAAGUGUGAACGCUGGAAGCAUCAAAUUUGUGCCCUUUUUAAUUUCAAAAGGGGUGAUUCUAAAGAAGCAAAAUGUACUUGCCCUAAAGUGUUGUUCUUGGGGCUAAAGAUCUGCCAAGGGCCGUGCUUAGCAAUCAUAUACAAGAACAACUCUUUAAACCGUUCAGGGAAGAGAGACACUAACAGGCCAUUCAUGAUGGGAAAAGCUUUGAUGAGGUUAGUGUUGCCUCAUCAAAUUCACAGAAUCUUACUUCUUUCCUGA